ACCCGGAAUCACUGGGAGAAAAGGGUUCGUAGGCGGUUUAAUAAGUUGGAUAUGAAAGACCGGAGCUCAACUUCGUGUUUGUGUUCAAAACUGUUAAACUAGAAUCAGGGAGAGGUAAGUAGAAUUCUAAGUGUAGGGGUGCAAUCCGUAGAUACUUAGAGGAAUACCAAAAGCGAAGGCAACUUACUGGAACUGUAUUGACGCUGAGGAACGAAAGCGUGGGUAGCGAAAAGGAUUAGAUACCCUUGUAGUCCACGCCCUAAACGAUGAUAACUAAGUGUUGCUCCUAGAGGGCAGUGCUGAAGCUAACGCAAUAAGUUAUCCACCUGAGGAGUACGGUCGCAAGAUUAAAACUCAAAGGAAUAGACGGGGACCCACACAAGCAGUGGAUCACGUGGUUUAAUUCGACAAUAAACGGGGAACCUUACCCAGACUUGACAUCCUAAGAAUCUUCUAGAGAUAGAAGAGUGCCUUUAUUGGAACUUAGUGACAGGUGCUGCAUGGUUGUCGUCAGGUC
This 517-nucleotide non-coding RNA is filed under the name Pseudoalteromonas citrea. RNAcentral describes it as "bacterial SSU rRNA". It matches the Rfam family "Bacterial small subunit ribosomal RNA", at positions 543 to 1061 of the family's 1533-position model. The record is from RNAcentral. Lineage: Bacteria; Pseudomonadati; Pseudomonadota; Gammaproteobacteria; Alteromonadales; Pseudoalteromonadaceae.